UACGUAGGGGGCAAGCGUUGUCCGGAUUUAUUGGGCGUAAAGAGCGUGUAGGCGGCCAGACAGGUCCGUUGUGAAAACUCGAGGCUCAACCUCGAGACGCCGAUGGAAACCGUCUGGCUAGAGUCCGGAAGAGGAGAGUGGAAUUCCGUGGUGUAGCGGUGAAAUGCGUUGAGAUCGGAAGGAACGCCCGUGGCGAAAGCGGCUCUCUGGGACGGUACUGACGGCUGAGACGCGAAAGCUAGGGGAGCGAACGGG
This 255-nucleotide ribosomal RNA is filed under the name uncultured bacterium. Its description in RNAcentral is "partial 16S ribosomal RNA". It matches the Rfam family "Bacterial small subunit ribosomal RNA", at positions 524 to 776 of the family's 1533-position model. The record is from RNAcentral.